RNAcentral lists this long non-coding RNA (1236 nucleotides) under Sorghum bicolor (sorghum). RNAcentral's name for it is "long non-coding RNA (SBIC_LNC008001)". The record is from RNAcentral. Lineage: Eukaryota; Viridiplantae; Streptophyta; Magnoliopsida; Poales; Poaceae.
CGGAUGCUCAGACAUCUUGCUGUAAAAAAUUAGUGAAGGCAAAGCAACAAUAUAUGUAGAAUAGGGAAUUAUAUGUGGAAUCUCACAAUCUCACCUCUCUUACCAACCGAAGCUCAUGUGAGUUCCCCGCAGAUUACAACGGCCAAUGCGAGGUGGUAACCGAGAAUGAUGGUUGGGAGAAUCCACGAUCAGUAUUUUCCUAUGACGAUGGGUUAUUUGUGGAGCUUGGUGGGGAUAUAUUUCACAAGGAAUGCAGUCUGAAUUCUUGAUAUUGUAAAGUUAAACCAUAAUCCAAACUAGAAGUUCAAUGCCUAGUGCUGACCACAAGAUAUGAGUGAUGUAAAUAGAUCAAACACAAGCGCAAAGAUAAUUCAGAUUUGAUGCAAACAAGGAGUGUGCCUAGGAUGCAAGUGUUGCAAUCAAACCCAAGCAAAAUUUUGCACCAAAGAUGGAUAAUGACUGAUUUUGUAACUUGAUAUAAAAUUCAGAAUUUGAGCACAUAAACAGAGUGAAUUUUCUACUCUUUCUUCACAACUUUUCUUCCUCAACUCUCUUUUUUUUCACUUUCCUUUUUUUUGAUACUAUGUUUUUUUAUAACUAAGAACAAGAGCAGAUAUAACACUUGCACACACUUUUUUUUUGAAACAAGACACAACCGUCAGCGUUCUAACUUGAUAGGCUCAAAGUUUACGCGAAGGAUGAUACCGGUUUCAGAUUUUCUUUAGGGAUUUGUAGAUAUAAAAGAGGCACAAAGAACACACAAAGGAUAUGAUGAUCAGCAACUAAACAAAACUCUAAUGGACUGAAACUUAACCAAACUCACAAGAAAAACAGAUUGAAACAAAGGGCUAAUGCAAUUUUUUUAUGGCUUUUUGGUGGAUAGGACGAACAAGAUAUAUAUAUGUAGCCAAUGGUAAAAAUCCUACCGUGGAAACUUGAGCUUUGAUACCAGAUGGUGAGGUCGUUGUCCCGAUCUUGACGACGUAGGAUAACUAGCUGAAGAUCAGCCGAUAACUUGCUGCAAGCAGGGAGGAUAACUAGUGCAACCUGACGACACGCACAAGGAGCCAACCACCGUCUCUAUACGGCAGCCUGAACCAAGGAUUCGCCCAACCACACUCUCAAAGAACCAACCUACGCAACCUGAACUCGAGGAUCAGGAGCACGGAUUGGGUGCCGAUGACGCAGCCGCUUCUGUAAUCUCCGCGAAGGAAAACACAAGAGCAAAAGGGGUAG